This 484-nucleotide ribosomal RNA is filed under the name uncultured bacterium. Its description in RNAcentral is "partial 16S ribosomal RNA". It matches the Rfam family "Bacterial small subunit ribosomal RNA", at positions 30 to 507 of the family's 1533-position model. The record is from RNAcentral.
AUUGAACGCUGGCGGCAGGCCUAACACAUGCAAGUCGAGCGGAUGAAGGGAGCUUGCUCCUGGAUUCAGCGGCGGACGGGUGAGUAAUGCCUAGGAAUCUGCCUGGUAGUGGGGGAUAACGUCCGGAAACGGGCGCUAAUACCGCAUACGUCCUGAGGGAGAAAGUGGGGGAUCUUCGGACCUCACGCUAUCAGAUGAGCCUAGGUCGGAUUAGCUAGUUGGUGGGGUAAAGGCCUACCAAGGCGACGAUCCGUAACUGGUCUGAGAGGAUGAUCAGUCACACUGGAACUGAGACACGGUCCAGAGUCCUACGGGGGGCAGCAGUGGGGAAUAUUGGACAAUGGGCGAAAGCCUGAUCCAGCCAUGCCGCGUGUGUGAAGAAGGUCUUCGGAUUGUAAAGCACUUUAAGUUGGGAGGAAGGGCAGUAAGUUAAUACCUUGCUGUUUUGACGUUACCAACAGAAUAAGCACCGGCUAACUUCGUG